This 975-nucleotide small RNA is filed under the name Pan troglodytes (chimpanzee). RNAcentral's name for it is "retained intron". Lineage: Eukaryota; Metazoa; Chordata; Mammalia; Primates; Hominidae. The record is from RNAcentral.
AUUUUCCGGUUAGCCUUCGGGGUGUCCGCGUGAGAAUUGGCUAUAUCCUGGAGCGAGUGCUGGGAGGUGCUAGUCCGCCGCGCCUUAUUCGAGAGGUGUCAGGGCUGGGAGACUAGGAUGUCGGACACGUGGAGCUCUAUCCAGGCCCACAAGAAGCAGCUGGACUCUCUGCGGGAGAGGCUGCAGCGGAGGCGGAAGCAGGACUCGGGGCACUUGGAUCUACGGAAUCCAGAGGCAGCAUUGUCUCCAACCUUCCGUAGUGACAGCCCAGUGCCUACUGCACCCACCUCUGGUGGCCCUAAGCCCAGCACAGCUUCAGCAGUUCCUGAAUUAGCUACAGAUCCUGAGUUAGAGAAGAAGUUGCUACACCACCUCUCUGAUCUGGCCUUAACAUUGCCCACUGAUGCUGUGUCCAUCUGUCUUGCCAUCUCCACGCCAGAUGCUCCUGCCACUCAAGAUGGGGUAGAAAGCCUCCUGCAGAAGUUUGCAGCUCAGGAGUUGAUUGAGGUAAAGCGAGGUCUCCUACAAGAUGAUGCACAUCCUACUCUUGUAACCUAUGCUGACCAUUCCAAGCUCUCUGCCAUGAUGGGUGCUGUGGCAGAAAAGAAGGGCCCUGGGGAGGUAGCAGGGACUGUAACAGGGCAGAAGCGGCGUGCAGAACAGGACUCAACUACAGUAGCUGCCUUUGCCAGUUCGUUAGUCUCUGGUCUGAACUCUUCAGCAUCGGAACCAGCAAAGGAGCCAGCCAAGAAAUCAAGGAAACAUGCUGCCUCAGAUGUUGAUCUGGAGAUAGAGAGCCUUCUGAACCAACAGUCCACUAAGGAACAACAGAGCAAGAAGGUCGGGCCCAAGUGCAAGAAUUCUGUGACUAUGGAACCAAGGAGGAGUGCAUGAAAGCCAGUGAUGCUGAUCGACCCUGUCGCAAGCUGCACUUCAGGUCUCUUGGAAGGGAAUGAGGUGGGAUGGGUUUGUCAG